UUUACGCUAAUGCCGUUGGCUGGGCUGUAAAUAAACACUUCCCACUUCCUACGACUUCCGGUGUGGAGGGCGCGCCUCUCCUUCCGCUUCCCCUCGGCUGCGCGUGUGCGGGAAGGGAGACCGUCUGGCGGGAGAGGCUUUUUGCUGGAUGGCGAGAGCUGGGGCCCCUGUGACUUUGGUUCUCACGUGUGGGUGGAGGUGUUUGUGGACGAUUUCGGAUGCCUGGUGAAAAUUUUCUCAAGUCGUGCCGUUGCAACUAAGAACAGAGCAUUCCCUAGAUGAAACUCAACACGCGUAUGCCGAAAAGCAUGAGGUUUUGCUCCAGGAGCAUCGGAAAAGCUCUCAGACGAUGAACAAGGAAGCCCUGCGAAUGCCCUGCUUGUGUGCUACUGGCUGCUUCCUCGGGGCUGUGGGGUCCCUGGCGGAGCAGCCGGCAACUUACUGCUCAGAGGUGGCCCGGGGUGGGGCGCGGGGUGUGGGGUGGGGGGGACAACCGUGCAGUCUCCCCUCCAACAACAACAACAAACCCAAAACAACGAAAUUUGGAGAUGCAGUGGGACAUUCUUUCACAAAGUAGCUUCUAUCAGUCCUGUUUGAUUUUCUUUAAUAAGUCUGUUCUUUUCAAAUGACUUAAUGAUUGUCAGAAUUUUACCGAGGGCCAAGUGUACUGUGAUCUCAGUGAGUUAUGGUGUUUU
Acinonyx jubatus (cheetah) is the source of this 695-nucleotide long non-coding RNA. RefSeq lists it as uncharacterized. The transcript is spliced from 2 exons. NCBI's taxonomy places the organism in Eukaryota, Metazoa, Chordata, Mammalia, Carnivora, Felidae. The record is from RefSeq and is a predicted model, not a curated record.